Molecule: long non-coding RNA, 298 nt
Organism: Lolium rigidum
Lineage: Eukaryota; Viridiplantae; Streptophyta; Magnoliopsida; Poales; Poaceae
Exons: 2
Source: RefSeq, a predicted model, not a curated record
UGCGGGAAGAAGGGAAACAGCUACGGCAUCGUCAUGGUUGACACCGAGAAGAGCCACUUCGAGGUUCAGGAGGUCGCGGAGAACGACGGCAAGUGCAAGUGCGGCACCAGCUGCAGCUGCACCACCUGCACCUGCGGCCACUGAAGAAGCCCUGCUGCUGGGCCUCUCGCGCCACGGCCGUCUACACGUACUAGUACCCAACUUAUGCACUCCAGUGGUGCGUAGUUGUGUCAAUAAAAGUUUCUACCAGUGUGUGUCUGUCUGCUACUAUGUGGUUGUGCAAAAACCUGAUGGUUAA